RNAcentral lists this ribosomal RNA (489 nucleotides) under uncultured bacterium. Its description in RNAcentral is "bacterial SSU rRNA". It matches the Rfam family "Bacterial small subunit ribosomal RNA", at positions 28 to 537 of the family's 1533-position model. The record is from RNAcentral.
GAUGAACGUUGGCGGUGUGCCUAAUACAUGCAAGUCGAACGGAGUUAAUAGCAAUAUUGACUUAGUGGCGAACGGGUGAGUAACGCGUUGGUGAUCUGCCUUGAAGUGUGGAAUAACGCUCCGAAAGGAGCGCUAAUACCGCAUGUGCUCUCAAUUUUUAGAAAGUUGAGAGGAAAGGAUUUAUUCGCUUCGAGAGGAGCCUGCGUCCCAUCAGCUGGUUGGUAGGGUAAAGGCCUACCAAGGCAAUGACGGGUAGGGGACCUGAGAGGGUGGCCCCCCACAAUGGAACUGAAACACGGUCCAUACACCUACGGGUGGCAGCAGUAGGGAAUAUUAGAAAUGGACGAAAGUCUGAUCUAGCAACACCGCGUGUGCGAAGAAGGCCUUCGGUCGUAAAGCACUUUUGGUAAGGAAGUAGGAAGGAAUGUACUUCCAGAAUAAAGUCUCGGCUAACUAACGUGCCAGCAGCCGCCGGUAAACUCGUCUCUA